Molecule: ribosomal RNA, 317 nt
Filed under: uncultured eukaryote
Lineage: Eukaryota
Description: partial 18S ribosomal RNA
Rfam family: Eukaryotic small subunit ribosomal RNA
Source: RNAcentral
CCCUUAGAUGUUCUGGGCUGCACGCGCGCUACACUGAUGCGCUCAACGAGUUUACGACCUUGCCCGGAAGGGUUGGGUAAUCUUUUUAAAACGCAUCGUGAUGGGGAUAGAUUAUUGCAAUUAUUAAUCUUUAACGAGGAAUUCCUAGUAAGCGCGAGUCAUCAGCUCGUGCUGAUUACGUCCCUGCCCUUUGUACACACCGCCCGUCGCUCCUACCGAUUGAUUGAUCCGGUGAAUUACAUAGAAUUUUGCGUUUUACAUGACGGAAGACGAAGUGUUUUAAACCUUAUCAUUUAGAGGAAGGAGAAGUCGUAACA